This 852-nucleotide long non-coding RNA is filed under the name Homo sapiens (human). RNAcentral's name for it is "HSALNT0149857". The record is from RNAcentral. Lineage: Eukaryota; Metazoa; Chordata; Mammalia; Primates; Hominidae.
GGUCUGGUGCUCACUGUGUGUAAUCGUGACUGCGGGGACCCGCCUAUCGGAGUAAAUAUGUAAAAGGAGGUGAAGAGGUGGGCCUGAUCCCUGGCCCGAGGAGUGAAUUCAGAGUGCAGCUUACUGUGUGUGCUGGUGUCACUUGACCCUCUCCACAUUACCCCAGGGGCAUCAGGACUUGAAGAACUGGCCCAAAAAUGCUGCUACUCUGGCUACUACCAUUGCUGUGAGUUAAAAACUGUCCUUUGUCUCUGACCCAGGAGUUCUAUGCCUUCUACCAGCAUCCAUGAAACUUGGCUGGCUAAAUUGUUAGCUUUCCAGUAGCUAUUAUGAAAUCUCAGGCCCUUUGUGAUUAUUUUUUUGUUUGUUGGUUUGGGUUUUGUACAUAUUUAUGGGGUACAUGUGACAUUGUGUCACAUGCGUAGAAUGUGUACUUCUACUUCAGGAUGUUUAGGAGAUCCAUCACCAUAAACUUUACCAUUUCUAUGUGUUGAGAACAUUUCAAGUUCUCACUUCUAGCUACAAUACAUUGUUGUUAACUGUAGUCACCUUACUCUACAAUUGAAUAUUACUGCUUAUUCCUUCUGUAUAACUGUAUGUUUGUACCCAUUAAUCAAUCUGUCUUCAUCUACACAUCUAAAUCCUUCCCAGUCUCUUGUCACCACCAUUUGAUUUUCCACCUCCAUGAGAUCCAUAUUUUAAGCUCCCACAUAUAAGUGAGUACAUGCAAUAUUUAUUUCUGUGUCUGGCUUAUUUAACUUGAUAUAAUGACCUACAGUUCCAUCUAUGUUGCUGUAAAUGACAUGAUUUCAUUCUUUUUUUGGACAAAUAGUAUUCCAUUGCAUAAAUAAA